GACGAACGCUGGCGGCGUGCUUAACACAUGCAAGUCGAACGGAAAGGCCCUGCUUUUGUGGGGUGCUCGAGUGGCGAACGGGUGAGUAACACGAGAGUAACCUGCCCUUGACUUUGGGAUAACUUCAGGAAACUGGGGUUAAUACCGGAUAGGAUACCCUGCUGCAUGGUGGGCGUUGGAAAGUCUCGGCGGUGGUGGAUGGACGCGCGGCUGAUGAGCUUGCUGGUGGGGUAGUGGCUUACCAAGCCUUUGACGGAUAGCCGGCCUGAGAGCGUGACCGGCGACAAUGGGCCUACGAGACGGACCAGACUCCUACGGGAGGCAGCGGUGGGGAACAUUACCCAACGGGCGGACGCCUGUUGCGGCGACGCCGCGUGCGGAAUGACGGCCUUCGGGGUAUAAACCGCUUUCGCCUGUGACCAAGCGUGUGUGACGGUAAUCAGUAAAGAAGCACCGGCUAACUACGUG
RNAcentral lists this ribosomal RNA (468 nucleotides) under uncultured bacterium. Its description in RNAcentral is "partial 16S ribosomal RNA". It matches the Rfam family "Bacterial small subunit ribosomal RNA", at positions 28 to 507 of the family's 1533-position model. The record is from RNAcentral.